This 300-nucleotide ribosomal RNA is filed under the name uncultured Slackia sp. Its description in RNAcentral is "bacterial SSU rRNA". It matches the Rfam family "Bacterial small subunit ribosomal RNA", at positions 40 to 339 of the family's 1533-position model. The record is from RNAcentral. Lineage: Bacteria; Bacillati; Actinomycetota; Coriobacteriia; Eggerthellales; Eggerthellaceae.
CGGCGCGCCUAACACAUGCAAGUCGAACGAGUAAGACGCCUUCGGGCGUGGAUAGAGUGGCGAACGGGUGAGUAACACGUGACCAACCUGCCCCCUCCUCCGGGACAACCUCGGGAAACCGAGGCUAAUACCGGAUACUCCGGGCACCCCGCAUGGGAUGCCCGGGAAAGCCCUCGCGGGAGGGGAUGGGGUCGCGGCCCAUCAGGUAGACGGCGGGGUAACGGCCCACCGUGCCCGCAACGGGUAGCCGGGCUGAGAGGCCGAUCGGCCACAUUGGGACUGAGACACGGCCCAGACUCC